Molecule: ribosomal RNA, 492 nt
Filed under: uncultured bacterium
Lineage: Bacteria
Description: partial 16S ribosomal RNA
Rfam family: Bacterial small subunit ribosomal RNA
Source: RNAcentral
UAGGGAAUCUUCGGCAAUGGGGGCAACCCUGACCGAGCAACGCCGCGUGAGUGAAGAAGGUUUUCGGAUCGUAAAGCUCUGUUGUAAGUCAAGAACGGGUGUGAGAGUGGAAAGUUCACACUGUGACGGUAGCUUACCAGAAAGGGACGGCUAACUACGUGCCAGCAGCCGCGGUAAUACGUAGGUCCCGAGCGUUGUCCGGAUUUAUUGGGCGUAAAGCGAGCGCAGGCGGUUUGAUAAGUCUGAAGUUAAAGGCUGUGGCUCAACCAUAGUUCGCUUUGGAAACUGUCAAACUUGAGUGCAGAAGGGGAGAGUGGAAUUCCAUGUGUAGCGGUGAAAUGCGUAGAUAUAUGGAGGAACACCGGUGGCGAAAAGCGGCUCUCUGGUCUGUAACUGACGCUGAGGCUCGAAAGCGUGGGGAGCGAACAGGAUUAGAUACCCUGGUAGUCCACGCCGUAAAACGAUGAGUGCUAGGUGUUGGAUCCUUUCCGG